CGUGAGCGAGAACGUGAUCGCGACAGGGACCAGCGUCGUGAUCGCGAUAAGGAGCGGGAGAAGGAACGGAGCGACCGUGACCGUGAACGUGACAGAGACCGCGACCGGAAGCAUCGUAGGCGAUCACCCCACGAACGGUCACGUCGCCGCUCCCGCGAUCGCCGCUAGAAAACUGAGGUAUCACAAAUCACCUCGAAAUGCUUAGUAAAAUGUACCAAAAUAUGGCAUAUGGGGAUUGACCCCGUUCGUUCGAUAGUUGUCGUCACACCGACGGAUUUGGCAGGUAUUUGAUUGGUAUUUUCAAAUAGUGGCUGGGUGCUUUCGUUGCUCACUUGCCGCGGUAUGGGCUCGUCGUUGUUGUAUUGAGGUACAUAAAAUUAUGAUUCGUCGUCUUGAGGCCAGAGCGAGAAAGCCUUCUGUCGCGUGCACGCGAUGACAGGUAUUUGUUAGGGUCACGAUAGCGAUUUUGGGAGAAGUUCCUGUUUAUAGGCUUUAAAAAAUAUUUGAGCUCUGUAUUAAUUCUCUAUCUAAAAAUUAAUGAUAACUUUUCUCUGUGUGAAUAGGUUUUUUACAAAUAUUUUACGCUACACAUUUAAUGGCAAUAAUGGAGAUGCCAAGAUGCGUUAUUUUGAGA
Long non-coding RNA from Pieris napi, 634 nucleotides. RefSeq lists it as uncharacterized. NCBI's taxonomy places the organism in Eukaryota, Metazoa, Arthropoda, Insecta, Lepidoptera, Pieridae. The transcript is spliced from 3 exons. The record is from RefSeq and is a predicted model, not a curated record.